GACGAACGCUGGCGGCGUGCUUAACACAUGCCAGUCGAACGGAAAGGCCCUGCUUUUGUGGGGUGCUCGAGUGGCGAACGGGUGAGUAACACGUGAGUAACCUGCCCUUGACUUUGGGAUAACUUCAGGAAACUGGGGCUAAUACCGGAUAGGAGCUCCUGCUGCAUGGUGGGGGUUGGAAAGUUUCGGCGGUUGGGGAUGGACUCGCGGCUUAUCAGCUUGUUGGUGGGGUAGUGGCUUACCAAGGCUUUGACGGGUAGCCGGCCUGAGAGGGUGACCGGCCACAUUGGGACUGAGAUACGGCCCAGACUCCAACGGGAGGCAGCAGUGGGGAAUAUUGCACAAUGGGCGGAAGCCUGAUGCAGCAACGCAGCGUGCGGGAUGACGGCCUUCGGGUUGUAAACCGCUUUCGCCUGUGACGAAGCGUGAGUGACGGUAAUGGGUAAAGAAGCACCGGCUAACUACGUG
RNAcentral lists this ribosomal RNA (468 nucleotides) under uncultured bacterium. Its description in RNAcentral is "partial 16S ribosomal RNA". It matches the Rfam family "Bacterial small subunit ribosomal RNA", at positions 28 to 507 of the family's 1533-position model. The record is from RNAcentral.